GACGAACGCUGGCGGCGUGCCUAAUACAUGCAAGUAGAACGCACAGUUUAUACCGUAGCUUGCUACACCAUAGACUGUGAGUUGCGAACGGGUGAGUAACGCGUAGGUAACCUGCCUGGUAGCGGGGGAUAACUAUUGGAAACGAUAGCUAAUACCGCAUAAUAUUAAUUAUUGCAUGAUAAUUAAUUGAAAGGUGCAAUUGCACCACUACCAGAUGGACCUGCGUUGUAUUAGCUAGUAGGUGAGGUAACGGCUCACCUAGGCGACGAUACAUAGCCGACCUGGGAGGGUGAUCGGCCACACUGGGACUGAGACCCGGCCCAGACUCCUACGGGAGGCAGCAGUAGGGAAUCUUCGGAAAAGGACGAAAGUCUGACCGAGCAACGCCGCGUGGGUGAAGAAGGUUUUCGGAUCGUAAAGCUCUGUUGUAAGAGAAGAACGGGUGGGAGAGUGGAAAGUUCACACUGUGACGGUAUUUUACCAAAAAGGGACGGCUAACUACGU
This 504-nucleotide ribosomal RNA is filed under the name uncultured bacterium. RNAcentral describes it as "partial 16S ribosomal RNA". It matches the Rfam family "Bacterial small subunit ribosomal RNA", at positions 28 to 506 of the family's 1533-position model. The record is from RNAcentral.